AUGCCGAGCCGUUUUAGGUGAAGUGAGUGAUCCCAUGCUGUCGAGAAAAGCCUCUAGCGAGUGUAGGG
RNAcentral lists this ribosomal RNA (68 nucleotides) under Actinomadura geliboluensis. RNAcentral describes it as "partial 23S ribosomal RNA". Lineage: Bacteria; Bacillati; Actinomycetota; Actinomycetes; Streptosporangiales; Thermomonosporaceae. The record is from RNAcentral.